Long non-coding RNA from Folsomia candida, 1529 nucleotides. RefSeq lists it as uncharacterized. The transcript is spliced from 6 exons. Lineage: Eukaryota; Metazoa; Arthropoda; Collembola; Entomobryomorpha; Isotomidae. The record is from RefSeq and is a predicted model, not a curated record.
UUCAAUUGACACGUGUAGAUUUUUUUAGUGUUUUGGUUUCACCUUUUAGAAUACCUAUUUAUGUCUCGUCUAAAUUUUAAGUCUGCUAAUUGCAGAAAUAUUAGUAAAGUAUCUACAGUAUAAGAAACCUAAUCUAUGUAUGUAUGUAUAUGAGACUUGAUACACUCUUAGUAGCUUGGUGUCAAAUUCUGAGAUUGCACUGACACUGUCGGUCGGUGUCAGACUCAAUUCAACUACCGGUGUCAAAAUUUGACACCGAUGCUGACACCAUGACGGAAAUCCAACGUCACCCCGACGGUGACAACAGAUUGAGUGUAAACGGUGAGGAUUUGACACCGUUCUGUGUUAAUAUCCUUAUCUCAUUUCACACCUGAUCGUGUCAAGCUGUGUACUGUAUACAUUAACAUAAUGGUUGUGUUAAAUCCAACACCGUCUUGUGUCGCCUUUCUCACUGAAAAGUGUUGGGGGGGACGCCGCGGGAUUUUUGUCAGUUUCCACCUCCGAGCCGGCUGAACGAUGGAGGAAUUAAUUCUCCAAUUUUUCUCGUGAAAAAAAACUAAUUUUUUUGGUGUGGAUUAUUUCAACUAGCAGUGAAAAUAAAUAAUAAAUAAACGCCAACGUUCUUAUCAUUGUACAGGAUCAAGAGUGGAUGGGGAGGUUCAAACCGAGGUGAGUUGGGAUUCCUAAAGUUAAAUUUCUAAUUCUUUUCCAUCCGAACUCAAGCAAGGCGAAUAAUAGGAUGGGAAUUUUGUUAUUGACCGUGGGGAAUGAUCCGGCAAAGCGGAAGAAUUUUUUCGUUACGCGUUGGAAGCCGAUAAUCGGAAUUUCCCAGCAUUGCUACAACUCUUGCAGACCUACAUCGCCAACCCCGGUCAAGAAUCGGGACGCCAUCAAAGAAAUAUUUGAACGAGGCGACCAAGAUUUCUCGGAUGAACGGGCUGCCAUUUUUACGUUCAGAAGGGAUUGUUUGUCACCAUGUGGAAAGAAUACGAGGAACCGUUUAAAUUCUGGGCGAUGGGUUAUCAGAAAAAUAGUGCUUGUUUGGAGUUAGAUUUACAGAAACUGAUCUUCUUUAAGAAUUGUUAGUUAAAUUUCCUAAUUCCUUUGCACACCCAUAGACAGCUGGAAACUCUACAUCAUCUGGCCAUUCAUCCUCAUUUUGUUGAAAAAUCCAUGCCGCGACAAUUAAUUUGCAGUUAAUCAAUAUUUUGGAAUCAACAAUCGCACAAGAUGCAAGUUUACAAGAAUUGUUCCUGGAUUGCAACACGAAGGGAUUUUCAGCAAUGCCGGUUCUUCAAUUUUGACAAACUCGUUUGUAAGAAAGUUGAUUGAGCUCAGAGGGUAAGGAAAGUAAUAAGCAUGAUUGUCUUAUAACUAUUUCAAAAUUGUUAAUAUUAAGUUAAAUAUUUGAUAUUUUAUUGUACAAUGUAAUAUUAUUCAAUAUUAUAUGUAACUUUUGUUAGGUUAAAUAUUUAUAAGAAAAAUUAAUUAAUAUAUGUUUUUAAAUAAAGGAAACAUUUAUAACCGUA